UUUACAAUGGAGAGUUUGAUCCUGGCUCAGGAUGAACGCUAGCUACAGGCUUAACACAUGCAAGUCGAGGGGAAACGACAUCGAAAGUUUGCUUUUGAUGGGCGUCGACCGGCGCACGGGUGAGUAACGCGUAUCCAACCUGCCCA
Molecule: ribosomal RNA, 146 nt
Filed under: Segatella copri
Lineage: Bacteria; Pseudomonadati; Bacteroidota; Bacteroidia; Bacteroidales; Prevotellaceae
Description: partial 16S ribosomal RNA
Rfam family: Bacterial small subunit ribosomal RNA
Source: RNAcentral